This is a long non-coding RNA of Perca flavescens (yellow perch), 1345 nucleotides long. RefSeq lists it as uncharacterized. The record is from RefSeq and is a predicted model, not a curated record. NCBI's taxonomy places the organism in Eukaryota, Metazoa, Chordata, Actinopteri, Perciformes, Percidae. The transcript is spliced from 4 exons.
AUGACAUGUUAUGGGAAGAGUAAAAAAACGUUUGCUUCGUAUCAUUACAUCAGAUCAUAGCCUAUCGUAUGUGUACAGGUUUAGCUUAGUUUAAAAACAGUCUAACGAUUUUAUAAUAAUAGUCUGUUGAUUUAGGUUCGUUAUUUAACGUUAUUAAAUAUAAAUCCAACAAGCUAUGCGUUGCAAAUAUGUACCGUCAAAGGACUAUGGCGGGCGGAGACAGAAACACAUUGAGGAGUGCGCUCUGUCUAGCGUUUUCAUUUUACUGGUAGUUUGUUGCUGAAAAUGUGCUUGUUUAAACAGUGCUUCUAGAAUAAACUCUCUGAUGUUAUCUACAUUAGCUAACGUAACUUAGCUAGCUAGCUUAUGAAGGAAAACUACUUCAGAGACUACCAGCUGUUCCACAAGGGCAGCUGGAAAAUGCACAGUCCAAGGUGUUGAAUCUUUAAUAUUUUACCUGGCAGGUAAAACCAAGGGUCAGACUGAAUUUUUCAGUUGGCUGUUUUUAAGGAAUAUUGAUGGCAUCGAAAAGUAUGUGUGACUUUCCAAAACAAUUAUUGCGAAGUGGUUAUGCAACACACCUGCUGUGAACAGUGACUGACUCAAAGCCUACGUUUCUGCAGAUACACAGCCCACCUACAGUCUGUAGGCAAGACCAUCACAUACAGUUCCUCGAAUACUUUGGGGAAACCCUACCUGCCCAGUCUCUGAAUGCGAUGGAUGUGGUGAGAGUGCUGCACAGGGGAUUUUGUGAUCUCUGGAAUACAAGACUCUUGGAGACUGACGAGUUUCGCUGGCUGGAGAGGUGUCUGGAGCUGCAGGCGGCCAGCAAGCCACCAAACCAGCUGGUUUUUUUCAUGGCUGGGAAGGGCCCAUGCUAAAACUUCUUGCACCACCUGCAGGUAGCGUGGGCAGAGAUCCGCCUUAAAGGGUCCCCCAACUUCACUGACCUGAGGACUGCUGUGUUUGCGCAUGCCAAGAACAACCUGCCUGCCGAGCAGCGGACGAUGGUGGCCACCUUGAUGUGCAACAACACGGCCACAGCUGACUGCUUCUACGCCCUCAGCCUGAACGUGGCCCAGUCAAAGAGGGUGAGGGAGCAUUUCCGCCAGGCCCUCACCCACCCCGUGCCAUCACCAGAGUCACCAGAAGCCUCCUCCUCCUCCACCACCAGGAAGAGCUCCUGCAAGCCUGAGUCCUCCUCCAGUUCCAAAGACGAAACCCCUGUCCCCUACCAGGAGUCGGUGACCUCGGGACUGGAGUAGCAGAGGGAGUUCAUUAGGGCUGCAACAACGAAUCGAUAAAAUCGAUAAAAUUCGAUUACUAAAAAAGUUGGCAACGAAUU